This is a long non-coding RNA of Diorhabda sublineata, 1805 nucleotides long. RefSeq lists it as uncharacterized. Lineage: Eukaryota; Metazoa; Arthropoda; Insecta; Coleoptera; Chrysomelidae. The record is from RefSeq and is a predicted model, not a curated record. The transcript is spliced from 3 exons.
UUUGCCAAGAGAAACGAAAAAUAAAAUUUCAAACCAACUGUCUAUAAUAGACAAUUACUUUGGAAAGCAUGCGUAUGUUCUAUGUAUCAGUCUCCUGUUAUUCAACCGACACACCUCGUAUAAGUAAAAUAAUAAGAUAGGGAAAUAAAGAAUUUCUUUACAUAAAAAAUGACCUUGAAGUGUAUUUUUCAAAUCUUACUUCGUUUGUUCAAUUAAUUUGGAAGUUUACAGGCCGUAUGACAUUAUGCACCAUUCCGUAUCAUAUUUCUGUACAAUUUCUGGGCAAUAGAUCAAAUAUCGUGUCGGUGUCACAUUGUGUCGUGUUUAUGUUUAGCCUAACCUAACUCAUUCCUUAGUUGAAAUUAUUUUAUUCGGUUUCCUGUUAUUAUGGAGUAAAACGUAAUGGCUGCAUGUGCUGCGGCUGUAGUUGGACAUACAAUGAUAUUCCAAACUAUUUGCAAAGAUAAUUCUCGGAAAAAGCCAAAACGAAAAUGGAUUAGGCCCUGGAUUCAAAGGAGAACAAGAUUAAAUUUGUUGAACAAUGAGCUUUUGCAAGAAGAUCCAUUAGCAUAUAAAAACUUUUUAAGGAUGUCCCAGACACAAUUUGAUUACUUAUAUAAUUUAGUGAAACAAGAUAUCGAGAAAUGUGAUACUCAUUUUCGGGAGGCUAUACCAGGACGAAACAGGUUGGAAGUAACUUUACGUUUUUUGGCCACUGGUUAAUCAUAGAGAUCCCUAAUGUAUUCCACACGAAUCCACAAUAAUUAAAUUCGUGCAAGAAGUAUAUAGAUCCAUAUAUAAUCAUCUACAUCCAAUAUAUGUUAAGACACCAAAUACAAAUCAUGAAUGGGAACAAAUAGCAAAAGAUUUUGAUGAUAUAUGGCAGUUUCCCAACUGUAUUGGAAGUUUAGAUGGGAAACAUAUUAAGUUUAGACCACCACUAUCAGCAGGUUGAUAUUACUACAACUACAAAGGAGACCAUUCAAUAGUUUUAUUAGCUUUAGCUGAUGCAAAGUAUAAAUUUACAUAUGUAAAUAUGGGAGUAAAUGGAGGAGUUUUCCAACAAAGCAAACUUUCUACAGCUCUAGUUGAUGGAUCCUUGAAUAUACCCCAGCCUGCAAAAUUGAAGGGUAGAACAUUAGAAGUGCCAUAUGUGAUCGUUGAAGAUGAUGCUUUUCCCUUAACAUCACACAUAAUGAAACCCUAACCAGAAUGGCAGUUAAGUCAUUCAAUUACUGACUUUCGAGAGCACAGCGAAUAGUUGAAAAUGCUUUUGGCAUAUUAGCCAAUAAAUUUCAAAUACUAAACACAAUAAAUUUAUCUGCAAAUAAAGUAGAAUUGGUAACAUUGGCUUGUAUAGCUUUACACAAUUAUUUAGUUAAAAAAGAACCUUUACAUGUUCCAGAACGUACUAACGAAAAUGUGCAAUUAGCAGGCAUUUCAACCCAAUGUUACAGAACCAAACCAAAUACAAUUUCUCAUAAGAUUAGAGAUGAAUUUAAAGAGUUUUUCAUGUCACCUCCAGGCGUUGUUCCAUGGCAAGAAGAAGCCAUAAGAAAACACAAUUUAUAAUGUAGUAUUCACCUUUCAUUGAAAAGGUUAUUAAAUGAAAAAUAUAAAGUUUUAUUGAUUCUUUAUUGACUGUUUGUAUUAUUUUCAGUGCAUGCUAUAUUUUUUUGAUCAUAAUAGUGUUAUAAUCUAUUUUAUUUCAUUAGAUACUUUUUAGUAUAGGGUUUCCUAUUUAAAAUAAACUUUCUGCUUCCCUUGUAUCUUUUUAGGACAAAUAAAAUUAAAUUCAAGUUAUA